GAAACGAUAGCUAAUACCGCAUAAUAUUGAUUAUUGCAUGAUAAUUGAUUGAAAGAUGCUAUUGCAUCACUACCAGAUGGACCUGCGUUGUAUUAGCUAGUAGGUGAGGUAACGGCUCACCUAGGCGACGAUACAUAGCCGACCUGAGAGGGUGAUCGGCCACACUGGGACUGAGACACGGCCCAG
Molecule: ribosomal RNA, 186 nt
Filed under: uncultured Streptococcaceae bacterium
Lineage: Bacteria; Bacillati; Bacillota; Bacilli; Lactobacillales; Streptococcaceae
Description: partial 16S ribosomal RNA
Rfam family: Bacterial small subunit ribosomal RNA
Source: RNAcentral